RNAcentral lists this ribosomal RNA (497 nucleotides) under uncultured bacterium. RNAcentral's name for it is "partial 16S ribosomal RNA". It matches the Rfam family "Bacterial small subunit ribosomal RNA", at positions 28 to 507 of the family's 1533-position model. The record is from RNAcentral.
GAUGAACGCUGGCGGCGUGCCUAAUACAUGCAAGUCGAGCGAACAGACGAGGAGCUUGCUCCUCUGACGUUAGCGGCGGACGGGUGAGUAACACGUGGAUAACCUACCUAUAAGACUGGGAUAACUUCGGGAAACCGGAGCUAAUACCGGAUAAUAUAUUGAACCGCAUGGUUCAAUAGUGAAAGACGGUUUUGCUGUCACUUAUAGAUGGAUCCGCGCCGCAUUAGCUAGUUGGUAAGGUAACGGCUUACCAAGGCAACGAUGCGUAGCCGACCUGAGAGCGUGAACGGCCACACUGGAACUGAGACACGGUCCAGACUCCUGCGGGAGGCAGCGGUAGGGAAUCUUCCGCAAGGGGCGAAAGCCUGACGGAGCAACGCCGCGUGAGUGAUGAAGGUCUUCGGAUCGUAAAACUCUGUUAUUAGGGAAGAACUAAUGUGUAAGUAACUAUGCACGUCUUGACGGUACCUAAUCAGAAAGCCACGGCUAACUACGUG